GACGAACGCUGGCGGCGUGCUUAACACAUGCAAGUCGAACGGAAAGGCCCUGCUUUUGUGGGGUGCUCGAGUGGCGAACGGGUGAGUAACACGUGAGUAACCUGCCCUUGACUUUGGGAUAACUUCAGGAAACUGGGGCUAAUACCGGAUAGGAGCUCCUGCUGCAUGGUGGGGGUUGGAAAGUUUCGGCGGUUGGGGAUGGACUCGCGGCUUAUCAGCUUGUUGGUGGGGUAGUGUCUUACCAAGGCUUUGACGGGUAGCCGGCCUGAGAGGGUGACCGACCACAUUGGGACUGAGAUACGGCACAGACUCCUACAGGAGGCAGCAGUGGGGAAUAUUGCACAAUGGGCGGACGCCUGAUGCAGAAACGCCGCGUGCGGGAUAACGGCCUUCGGGUUGUAAACCGCAUUCGCCUGUGACGAAGCGUGAGUGACGGUAAUGGGUAAAGAAGCACCGGCUAACUACGUG
RNAcentral lists this ribosomal RNA (468 nucleotides) under uncultured bacterium. RNAcentral's name for it is "partial 16S ribosomal RNA". It matches the Rfam family "Bacterial small subunit ribosomal RNA", at positions 28 to 507 of the family's 1533-position model. The record is from RNAcentral.